GACGUAGGGCGCGAGCGUUGUCCGGAUUUAUUGGGCGUAAAGAGCUCGUAGGCGGCUUGUUGCGUCGACCGUGAAAACCCGUGGCUUAACUGCGGGCUUGCGGUCGAUACGGGCGGGCUGGAGUUCGGUAGGGGAGACUGGAAUUCCUGGUGUAGCGGUGAAAUGCGCAGAUAUCGGGAGGAACACCGGUGGCGAAGGCGGUUCUCUGGGCCUGACCUGACGCUGAGGAGCGAAAGCGUGGGGAGCGAACAGG
Molecule: ribosomal RNA, 253 nt
Filed under: uncultured bacterium
Lineage: Bacteria
Description: partial 16S ribosomal RNA
Rfam family: Bacterial small subunit ribosomal RNA
Source: RNAcentral